UAAGCACGUAUCCUUACCUGAAUACAUAGGGUAAGGAGGCGAACCGGGGGAACUGAAACAUCUAAGUACCCCGAGGAAAAGAAAUCAACCGAGAUUCCGAAAGUAGCGGCGAGCGAAAUUGGACUAGCCCUUAAGCUUUACACGCGUUAGACGAACGGUCUGGAAAGUCCGACGAUACAGGGUGAUAGUCCCGUAGUUGACGACGUGUGUUCAGUGAAAUCGAGUAGGGCGGGACACGUGAUAUCCUGUCUGAAUAUGGGGGGACCAUCCUCCAAGGCUAAAUACUACUGACUGACCGAUAGUGAACCAGUACCGUGAGGGAAAGGCGAAAAGAACCCCUGUGAGGGGAGUGAAAUAGAACCUGAAACCGUGUACGUACAAGCAGUAGGAGCAGGCUUUGUCCUGUGACUGCGUACCUUUUGUAUAAUGGGUCAGCGACUUAUAUUCAGUGGCAAGGUUAACCAUCUAGGGGAGCCGUAGGGAAACCGAGUCUUAACUGGGCGUUCAGUCUCUGGAUAUAGACCCGAAACCAGGUGAUCUAGCCAUGGGCAGGUUGAAGGUUGAGUAACAUCAACUGGAGGACCGAACCGACUAAUGUUGAAAAAUUAGCGGAUGACUUGUGGCUAGGGGUGAAAGGCCAAUCAAACCUGGAGAUAGCUGGUUCUCCCCGAAAGCUAUUUAGGUAGCGCCUCGGACGAAUACUACUGGGGGUAGAGCACUGUUAAGGCUAGGGGGUCAUCCCGACUUACCAACCCUUUGCAAACUCCGAAUACCAGUAAGUACUAUCCGGGAGACACACGGCGGGUGCUAACGUCCGUCGUGGAGAGGGAAACAACCCAGACCGCCAGCUAAGGUCCCAAAUUACUACUAAGUGGGAAACGAUGUGGGAAGGCUCAGACAGCCAGGAUGUUGGCUUAGAAGCAGCCAUCAUUUAAAGAAAGCGUAAUAGCUCACUGGUCGAGUCGGCCUGCGCGGAAGAUGUAACGGGGCUAAGUAGUAAACCGAAGCUGCGGCAAUGUGCUUUUGCACAUUGGGUAGGGGAGCGUUCUGUAAGCGGUUGAAGGUGUGUGGUAACGCAUGCUGGACGUAUCAGAAGUGCGAAUGCUGACAUGAGUAACGAUAAAGGGGGUGAAAAACCUCCUCGCCGGAAGACCAAGGGUUCCUGUCCAACGUUAAUCGGGGCAGGGUAAGUCGACCCCUAAGGCGAGGCCGAAAGGCGUAGUCGAUGGGAAACGGGUUAAUAUUCCCGUACUUCUUACAAUUGCGAUGGGGGGACGGAGAAGGCUAGGUGGGCCUGGCGACGGUUGUC
This 1309-nucleotide ribosomal RNA is filed under the name Vibrio parahaemolyticus. RNAcentral's name for it is "partial 23S ribosomal RNA". It matches the Rfam family "Bacterial large subunit ribosomal RNA", at positions 141 to 1506 of the family's 2925-position model. Lineage: Bacteria; Pseudomonadati; Pseudomonadota; Gammaproteobacteria; Vibrionales; Vibrionaceae. The record is from RNAcentral.